RNAcentral lists this ribosomal RNA (373 nucleotides) under uncultured microorganism. RNAcentral's name for it is "bacterial SSU rRNA". It matches the Rfam family "Archaeal small subunit ribosomal RNA", at positions 330 to 700 of the family's 1478-position model. The record is from RNAcentral.
GUGCACCAGUCGCGAAACCUCCGCAAUGCGGGAAACCGCGACGGGGGACCCCGAGUGCCGUGGCAACGCCACGGCUUUUCCGGAGUGUAAAAAGCUCCGGGAAUAAGGGCUGGGCAAGGCCGGUGGCAGCCGCCGCGGUAAUACCGGCGGCCCGAAUGGUGGCCGCUAUUAUUGGGGCCUAAAGCGUCCGUAGCCGGGCCCGUAAGUCCCUGGCGAAAUCCCACGGCUCAACCGUGGGGCUUGCUGGGGAUACUGCGGGUCUUGGGACCGGGAGAGGCGGGGGGUACCCCUGGGGUAGGGGUGGAAAUCCCUAUAAUCCCCAGGGGGGACCGCCAGUGGCGAAGGCGCCCCGCUGGAACGGGUCCGACGGUGA